Molecule: long non-coding RNA, 701 nt
Organism: Metopolophium dirhodum (rose-grain aphid)
Lineage: Eukaryota; Metazoa; Arthropoda; Insecta; Hemiptera; Aphididae
Exons: 5
Source: RefSeq, a predicted model, not a curated record
ACAAGUUUUUGUUUUUCGCGUCCUGCUAUUUAAUAUAUUUUCCAUGAUGCGUCGUGCUGUCUCUGUAUUACGUGCAUGAACUAAUAAGUAUAACUAACUUUAAGUAUCUUUAAUCCGUAUUCGUGCUCUAGUACACUGGAUUCCAUAUUUCUAUAGACCACGGAAUAUAAUAUACCGCAUCUACAGAUACGUAUAAUACCUACUAACUGAAGUUAACUACUAACGAAAUAGAAAACUGGUUGAAGCUGAAGAAUUCCUAUCUUUGUCUUCUGAAGAAAUUAUUAAUCUAAUCUCGCGUGAUCACAUUAAUGUUCCAUUUGAAGAAAAAAUAUUUGUAUGUGUUAUUAAUUGGAUAAAUCAUGAAUUAGAUUGUAGACAUGACAGUUUGCCUAAAUUAAUGGACCAUGUCCGUUUGUCUUUAGUACCCAAGAGUAUAUAUCAAUAAAUGUAGUUGAUCAACCUCUUAUUAAAAAUGAUCCAAAUUGUAAAGAUUAUAUCAUUGAAGCUUUAAAUUUCCAUUAUGUAAAGAAACAUCUGCACAAAACUGUGCCACAAACAAUUUGUAAUUCACCUAAACAGACUGGACCUAAAAUACGGGGAAGAAGUAUACAAUGUUGUAUGAUCCAACAACCAAACUAUUGUAUAUAGCAAAGGAAAUGGGUUAGAGAUAAGAUAUGCACUUAUCCAGAUUCAAUUCAAGU